Molecule: long non-coding RNA, 1279 nt
Organism: Clupea harengus (Atlantic herring)
Lineage: Eukaryota; Metazoa; Chordata; Actinopteri; Clupeiformes; Clupeidae
Source: Ensembl
AGCUUUGUUCGGGCAGAUUUCAUCCGGCAAUUUGGGGCUGGGUUUAUUGGAUUAUGACUUAAAUAGCAUUACGUCUAUAAAUGUCUUAUUUGAUGUCUUUUUUUGUUGUUGUUGUUUCAGUUCUCUGUGCUUGAUGCAAAGUGGGAUUUCCCCAGGAUUUACUGGAUCAUAUGUAUUUCAAACGUUUUUUAUUCUCUUUUAUUGCUUGCAAGGCAUUUCACUGGCUGGCGUGCGCUAAUUAAGCUGAAUGUAAAAUGUCAAACUAGAGAACACACACUUGGUUGUGGUAAAGCAGUUACACGCUGUCUCACCUAAGGGAGCCAGGGAACGUCAUGGUGAACAUCUGGAGCUCUUCAUAUGUGCAGCCCAACACACCCUUGCAGAGAGGCCAUGUUUCACCUACUGUCCAAUACUGUUAACCGAGGGUCAAUAAGGAUACUGACCUUCUCUUUGAUUGAGGGCCUUGCCAAAUCGCUCGCUGGAGUCCUGAGACAUAGGAGACAGACACCGAAUGAAAGUUAAACUUUUGGACAUAGAGACGGCAGAGUAAAAAGACCCUAAAGACCCUUUUUUGCUUUAAUUGUCCUUUUGUUCUUUUUUCUCUCCACAACCAAAUAUCAUUGGACCGCUGAUACCAUGUAAUGGGAUUUCGAGACUUUUCUUUGGAAGCUAAAAGUACUUUCCACUUAGGGGUAAAUUGCAUCAUCCCACGUGUGCUACAUUUCCCCCAUUAGUUUUCGGACCAUAUUCACAGCGAAAUGACGCCGUCCUGAGUGUCUUUUGUAAUGCAAAGCAGCACUCCACGGUGCGAGGCGAGAUGUUUAGUGGGGCUCUGGCGGCUUUUGUGCGAGGGUCAGACUCCUGAUGAGCCAGAUUUCAGGCCUGUCUUCGGCCAUGGAGCCUUUCAGAGCUACUCAUUUCCUUUAAAUGGGCCUCCAGCUGACGAAUGACUAUCUCUCUCAAUGACGAGAUGACACGUCUUCAACUGAAGCCAUGCAGGCCAGGGGGAAAAAAAGGGAGCAAGCAGAACUAACAAGUUCACACCAAACUUGAAUAGAUAAUAGGAGAAUGAUUUGGACAAGAGUGAGUUCAGUUUACCGUGAAGGGGAAGUGUUGGACUUGGUCUGAGGGUGCUUACAUUUCCCUCCAUCUUUGAUAUUGCAAAGGGAUUAAAUAGGAGACAAAGUGAUGAGAGCGAUUUGAAAAGGGGGUGAGACAAGGCAGCCAUGUUGGAAUUAGCAUAGCAUAGGGCUGCACAGUGCUGCAUAACCAUUUGCUU